Molecule: transfer RNA, 73 nt
Filed under: Patescibacteria group bacterium
Lineage: Bacteria
Description: tRNA-Phe
Rfam family: tRNA
About the family: Transfer RNA (tRNA) molecules are approximately 80 nucleotides in length. Their secondary structure includes four short double-helical elements and three loops (D, anti-codon, and T loops). Further hydrogen bonds mediate the characteristic L-shaped molecular structure. tRNAs have two regions of fundamental functional importance: the anti-codon, which is responsible for specific mRNA codon recognition, and the 3' end, to which the tRNAs corresponding amino acid is attached (by aminoacyl-tRNA synthetases). tRNAs cope with the degeneracy of the genetic code in two manners: having more than one tRNA (with a specific anti-codon) for a particular amino acid; and 'wobble' base-pairing, i.e. permitting non-standard base-pairing at the 3rd anti-codon position.
Source: RNAcentral
GCCGAGGUAGUCAACUUGGUGAAGACACGUGUCUGAAAAACAUGGGAUAGUGGUUCGAUUCCACUCCUCGGCA